GUUGUCAAGAGACUGGAGAUUGGCGAGUAGUGAACUCGGGAGCGGUGCGCGAUGUGCCCGUCUACGGAGCCUGACCAGAAGACCACUUCUUCUGCCCCUCCUGCGGCGCCGUUGUUUUGGGUCGCCGGCUGGGAUCCGAUCCAUUGUCCUGGGUGGUGGACCAAACAGAGGAUCCGCUUCGGGAAAGUCGUAUUCCUGGUCAUAAUGUUGUUCCAGGUUGAGGAGAGGCUGACAGAGUGUUUGACCCUGCUGGGAGGGAACAGCUUGCUGAGGUCCCUGCUCAUCCGUCAUGUCCUGUCUGAGAUCAACCGGCUAGCAGAGCACGUCUUGAUCACCUGCCAGGGGGAGAGCAGUGAGGGGUCUGUCCAGGUUGACGUGUCCCAGUAUGAAAACUCCUCCUACCUGGUCUGACUCCUGGAGUAGCUCCUACAUGGACCUCCAGGGGCCGCAGUGGGGCCAGGACACCAAUGGACGUAGGAGCAGAGGGCCCUGCUGGGCAGCCUGGAACACAGCGUCCUUCUCCUGUCUGACUUCCCCUGUUUAGCCUACAUGUGGAGGAUAGGGGCUCUCCUCGCCCCCUCUGUUCCAGGAACGAGCAUGGCGCCACCACGGCCACACAGGCGUGUAAUUCCACCUCCAGGAUGUUUCCACUUCAAAGGGCUGCAGAAGUUGGUGCAGAUACAGUCAAUUUGACUGACAUGACAGGAUUGAAGAGACAGGACUUAACAAACUGGAGGAGGUGGUGGGAGGUGCGUUAUUCAUUGAGGUUGGCUACCUCUUCAGAAGAAUAAUCUAUAAAUAGUAUGGCACUAAACCAAAGCCUGUCAUUAUUCUUGUUGGGAAAAGUGUGGCAAUUAAACAAUAAGACCCGAGGGGGUGUGGUACAGUAUAUGGCCAAUACACCACGGCUAAGGGCUGUUCUUAAGCACAACUCAACACGGAGUGCCUGGACACAGCCCUUAGCCGUGGGGGUUUGUGAUAUCAGGGCGGCAGGGUAGCUUUCAGCCACUCAGCAUUCAGGGCUCGAACCACAGUUUAUAAUGUGAAAUAGACUAUUGUGGCUGGCAUUAGAAUUACAAUGGAAAGCAUUGCAUUUUUUAUGAGAAUUAUAUAUUUUUUAUUUACAGACUGUGUGAAUGUAGAAUGGAUAUACUGAGUGCUGUAUGAGCAGGAAUAUCUUACUGUAAAGAAGGUAUGUCCGGAAAGUUUUUAGGCAUUUACAUUUUCAUUUGUUGAUUCUAUUAGCAAGAUGUAGUGAAGCAAUUUUACAAAUGGAUUUGAAAAUAAAUAAAAUCCAAAAUGUUCAUAUUCCAGAUUGUAUCCUUGAUUCAAGUCCAUGUAAAUAUUUAGUUACUGGACUUUGAUAUAAGUGUUUAUAGAAAUAUGUACUGAUAUUUAAGACAUGAUUGUAUAGAGAUUGUCAGUGACAUUAGAGUCUGACUUGUUGUAGUGUUCUAUAGAAGGGAUACAGUAAGUCUGACUUGUUGUAGUGUUCUAUAGGAGGGAUACAGUAAGUCUGACUUGUUGUAGUGUUCUAUAGGAGGGAUACAGUAAGUCUGAUUUACUGCCAUGUUCUAUAGCAGCGAUGGCUGUGUCCUAACAGACUGAACAGGUUAUAUUAGUGCUGCAUGACCCUCCCCAGUUUGUUAUCCUCUUCUAAAUAGCUGUGGACGGGAGGUGAGGCAGACUGCCUGUGAUGACUGCCAGCUCUGCUAUGUUUGCCCCGGCUGUAACCCAGU
Long non-coding RNA from Oncorhynchus tshawytscha (Chinook salmon), 1739 nucleotides. The record is from Ensembl. Lineage: Eukaryota; Metazoa; Chordata; Actinopteri; Salmoniformes; Salmonidae.